This 69-nucleotide small nuclear RNA is filed under the name Sinocyclocheilus rhinocerous. The record is from RNAcentral. Lineage: Eukaryota; Metazoa; Chordata; Actinopteri; Cypriniformes; Cyprinidae.
GUGCUUGCUUCGGCAGCGCAUAUACUAAAAUUGGAACGAUACAGGUUAGCAUGGCCCCUGUGCAAAGGA